GCUGUGAUGGCUGGGGAGUGAGGUGUUGGACUCAAAAUCCAAUAAGGUUUUUCUGUGCAGGUUCGAAUCCUGCUCGUGGCA
RNAcentral lists this transfer RNA (81 nucleotides) under Charadrius vociferus (killdeer). It matches the Rfam family "tRNA". Rfam says of the family: Transfer RNA (tRNA) molecules are approximately 80 nucleotides in length. Their secondary structure includes four short double-helical elements and three loops (D, anti-codon, and T loops). The record is from Rfam by way of RNAcentral. Lineage: Eukaryota; Metazoa; Chordata; Aves; Charadriiformes; Charadriidae.